AAAAUGGUGGGGACGACUCGAAGCGCCGCGGAAGGGGAUGCUGAUCCUUAGUGAUAUUUUUCCAAGCGAGAUUCCAGAGAAACGUAACAUAUUCAUGGAGGCAAACAUUCUUACUUUAAACUUCUCAGAAUUUUUGGAGUUCCUAGAAAUUCAAGAUACCUAACACUGUAAAGGAAUCCAUAUGAAAUUGAAAUGGAAUUGACAUUGCAAGGCAGAUCUGGAGGCACAAGGAGUAGGAGAAUGGAAGGAAGCUGAAUUUAUUCAUGGUAUAUUUACUACAGAUAGUCAAUUUUUGUAAUUUCCACAAGUUAUCAUAAGAUCCUCAAGUUCAGUUUUGAUGUCUGCAUUACAUGUAAAGAUAUGCAAUUAUUGCAUUUGCAAAGUCCAGUAGCUUUCAUCUGUUUUCAUACUGAGACAGCUGCAUGAAGGUAGAUUAACCCCUGUGAGAUUACAGUUAUACCCAGUAUAUCAUUUUGCAGUCCUUCCGUUUAAGAU
This 495-nucleotide long non-coding RNA is filed under the name Gallus gallus (chicken). The record is from RNAcentral. Lineage: Eukaryota; Metazoa; Chordata; Aves; Galliformes; Phasianidae.